CAACGAGCGCAACCUUGUCUUAUGUUGCCAGCACGUGAUGUGGGGACUCGUAAGAGACUGCCGGGGUCGAACUCGGAGGAAGGUGGGGACGACGUCAAGUCAUCAUGCCCCUUAUGUCCAGGGCUUCACACAUGCUACAAUGGCCAGUACAGAGGGCUGCGAGACCGUGAGGUGGAGCGAAUCCCUUAAAGCUGGUCUCAGUUCGGAUCGGGGUCUGCAACUCGACCCCGUGAAGUCGGAGUCGCUAGUAAUCGCAGAUCAGCAACGCUGCGGUGAAUACGUUCCCGGGCCUU
This 293-nucleotide ribosomal RNA is filed under the name uncultured Rhodococcus sp. RNAcentral describes it as "partial 16S ribosomal RNA". It matches the Rfam family "Bacterial small subunit ribosomal RNA", at positions 1090 to 1382 of the family's 1533-position model. The record is from RNAcentral. Lineage: Bacteria; Bacillati; Actinomycetota; Actinomycetes; Mycobacteriales; Nocardiaceae.